RNAcentral lists this transfer RNA (27 nucleotides) under Alopochen aegyptiaca (Egyptian goose). RNAcentral describes it as "partial tRNA-Thr". Lineage: Eukaryota; Metazoa; Chordata; Aves; Anseriformes; Anatidae. The record is from RNAcentral.
AUACUCUAAUAGUUUAAUAAAAACAUU